This 753-nucleotide ribosomal RNA is filed under the name uncultured Inocybe. RNAcentral's name for it is "eukaryotic LSU rRNA". The stretch from base 236 to 389 matches the Rfam family "5.8S ribosomal RNA". The record is from RNAcentral. Lineage: Eukaryota; Fungi; Basidiomycota; Agaricomycetes; Agaricales; Cortinariaceae.
AAGGAUCAUUAUCGAAUAAACUUGAACAGGCUGUUGCUGGUCCCAGGACAAUGUGCACGCUUGUCAUCUUUAUCAUUUCUCCCAACUGUGCACAUAUUGUAGACCCUGGAUUUGUUCCGAGUGGGGACUGCUGUGCUUCAAAAGAAGUCGGCUUUCCCCUUGAAGGUCUAUGUCGUUUUUCACAACCUCUUGAAUAUGUUUAGAAUGUUGAAAUAAAGAAAAGUUAAUAAAAUACAACUUUCAGCAACGGAUCUCUUGGCUCUCGCAUCGAUGAAGAACGCAGCGAAAUGCGAUAAGUAAUGUGAAUUGCAGAAUUCAGUGAAUCAUCGAAUCUUUGAACGCAUCUUGCGCUCCUUGGUAUUCCGAGGAGCAUGCCUGUUUGAGUGUCAUUUAAACUCUCAAACCACAUCAUUUGUUUGACGUGGCUUUGGACGUGGGGGUUGCCGGCUUUCUUCUCAGAGAGGCCUGCUCCUCUGAAAUGCAUUAGUGGUAUCUGAAGUGGAAAACCGCUAGGUGUGAUAAUACUGUCUAUGCCUUUGGUUUAUGCCGCAUGUGCUGCUUCCAACCGUACAUUUUUUGUGCUUUUGACAAACUUGACCUCAAAUCAGGUAGGACUACCCGCUGAACUUAAGCAUAUCAAUAAGCGGAGGAAAAGAAACUAACAAGGAUUCCCCUAGUAACUGCGAGUGAAGCGGGAAGAGCUCAAAUUUGAAAUCUGGCGGUCCUUGGCCGUCCGAGUUGUAAUCUAGAGAA